Molecule: non-coding RNA, 1610 nt
Organism: Odocoileus virginianus texanus
Lineage: Eukaryota; Metazoa; Chordata; Mammalia; Artiodactyla; Cervidae
Source: RefSeq, a predicted model, not a curated record
UCAACCAAAGUUGGGGGGGGGGGGCAUUCAGACCAUGGUCUUCCUAAACAGGAUUAAGCUUCCUGGGCUAAAAAGAUGAGGUUAAAACUAAUCAAUUUAUUAAGCACAUGAUAGCACAAAGAGCUUGCUUACUGACACCUAGAGAUCUUGCCCAUUGAUCUUACCUUCUGCCUAUUCCUCUAACAGGAUGAAGACAUGAGAUAAGGACUAAGACUGGGCUUAUAACAUUUGGCCAAAGCAACAUUUCUAUUUGGUUUUAAAGAAUGUAAAGUUCUUUGUGUCCGUGACCAAGAAAUCACACUGAUGAAUAAAAGGCAUGGAAGACUCAGAGAUGAAAAAGAAAUACUUGUAUCCCAUCUGUUGAUUCAGCAAAUCUGCUCUGGAACUUGCAGAGAGCUGACACAUUUAAGAAAGGAUGCCCCUGAGGAAAGGUUUCUUGACUACUUCAUUCAAAACGACAGUCAAAAGUCCAGGACUUGGUAAAUCACUGCUGCCCAAGAGGCAACGUUGUACAAGGCAAGGAGGCUUAAUAACUCUGGUGCUUCUGUGUGCUUUCAUUUGCCUAAGGAAACAUUUCUGAGCAAAGCAAGUUGAGAAAACCGUUUCAAUGAGAUGAAAGACUCUGUUGAAGUUCACAGAAGUAAUAAAUGGCUGAGUUUUUGAGCUCAAGGACAUCUGACUCAUGAUCUUACAAUUCUUCUGUACUGCUGUGGAAUUUUAUUCCUUCAUUUACUCAUUCACAAAGUCCUUGUGGAGACUGCAUUCUAGAUCCUGGCCUAAAUAUUGGGAAUGGAGAGAUAAGACUUACUCUCUGCUCAUAAGCAGCUCCCAAUCUACUAAAAGAAGACAGACAUGUAAAUUUGAAAGACAGCAAUACAAGAAUUUCAGGUACAGUUAUGGAAAGGCAUGACAAAUGUGGGAGAAAGAAAUCCUAUGGUGCAGAGUGGGACAAUUUCACAGUGCUAGCUGGCAACAUUCACAUAGAAUACCACGUGAUUGGUGCCCCAUGGAAGGCCAGGGUACAAAUCAGUAGAGGAAGAAUCUUUUCUGGUUUCAGCUCUUUUGUUUCUAAGGUGUCCUUCACAUUUCUAUUAGAGUUAUCAUUUUAAAUGCAAAUAUAAUUGUAUUAGUGCUUCUCUUUAACUUUCUAUCAUCCACUGACUCUCUCUGCCACCCACAGAGUAAAAUCAAAAUGUUUUAUCAAACAUAUCAAGGAUAAUAUCUUAUCUUUAUUCUAGAACAAAGAUGGUUCAAGAAUUAGCUCAUUGUCCAUCGAUUCAGCCACAUUCUGUAUCACUUGGCCCUCACACACUGGUGCUUCAUCAUUUCAGAUCUUACUCUGGGGUUAAGACUCCCAAAUGUAUUUGGCUAUUUUCCCACCUAUAUGUAUUCACACUGAAUGUUCUGUCUGCAGUAUUCUCCCCUUUUAUCCAGGCGCCAACGACUUGUUUUUUUAAGGUUUAACUUGAACAUCACCUUCUUUGUGAAAUGUUAGAGUGGAAGGAACGUGACUUUAUAAUCUAACAGAGUUAAAGAAAAAUAUUGGCUCCAUGACUUAAAGAUUUGUCCUUGGAUAGAUAGUUAUAUAUGUCUCUGAUCCUUUGUCUCAC